UACGUAGGUGGCAAGCGUUGUCCGGAUUUACUGGGCGUAAAGGGCGUGUAGCCGGGCUGACAAGUCAGAUGUGAAAUCCGGGGGCUCAACCCCCGAACUGCAUUUGAAACUGUUGGUCUUGAGUAUCGGAGAGGCAGGCGGAACUCCUAGUGUAGCGGUGAAAUGCGUAGAUAUUAGGAGGAACACCAGUGGCGAAGGCGGCCUGCUGGACGACAACUGACGGUGAGGCGCGAAAGCGUGGGGAGCAAACAGG
This 253-nucleotide ribosomal RNA is filed under the name uncultured bacterium. RNAcentral's name for it is "partial 16S ribosomal RNA". It matches the Rfam family "Bacterial small subunit ribosomal RNA", at positions 524 to 776 of the family's 1533-position model. The record is from RNAcentral.